RNAcentral lists this ribosomal RNA (460 nucleotides) under uncultured bacterium. Its description in RNAcentral is "partial 16S ribosomal RNA". It matches the Rfam family "Bacterial small subunit ribosomal RNA", at positions 338 to 795 of the family's 1533-position model. The record is from RNAcentral.
CCUACGGGAGGCAGCAGUGAGGAAUAUUUGUCAAUGGGCGCGAGCCUGAACCAGCCAAGUAGCGUGAAGGAUGACUGCCCUACGGGUUGUACACUUCUUUUAUAAAGGAAUAAAGUGAGGCACGUGUGCCUUUUUGUAUGUACUUUAUGAAUACGGAUCGGCUAACUCCGUUCCAGCAGCCGCGGUAAUACGGAGGAUCCGAGCGUUAUCCGGAUUUAUUGGGUUUAAAGGGAGCGUAGAUGGGUUGUUAAGACAGUUGUGAAAGUUUGCGGCUCAACCGUAAAAUUGCAAUUGAUACUGGCAGUCUUGAGGACAGUGGAGGUAGGCGGAAUUCGUGGUGUAGCGGUGAAAUGCUUAGAUAUCACGAAGAACUCCGAGUGCGAAGGCAGCUUACUAAACUGCCACUGACAUUGAUGCUCGAAAGUGUGGGUAUCAAACAGGAUUAGAUACCCGGGUAGUC